AGUAAAUUUUAUGGUCAAGCUACUAAGGGCAAACGGUGGAUGCCUUGGGACUUCGAGGCGAUGAAGGACGUGGAAAGCUGCGAUAAGCGACGGUGAGAAGCACUCAUUCGAUGAACCGUCGAUUUCCGAAUGGGGGAACCCAAUAACUGCCGCCUGAAUACAUAGGGCGGUUAGAGCAAACUCAGGGAAGUGAACCAUCUCAGUACCUGAAGGAAAAGAAAACAAUAGUGAUUCUGCUAGUAGCGGCGAGCGAACGCGGAAAAGCCUAAACCGAUAGGACUUGUCCUGUCGGGGUCGUGGGAUCAGACAUAACGGGAGAAGAAGAUUAACAAAAGUGUAUGGAAAAGCACACCAUAGAGCGUGAUAGUCGCGUAUGUGAAAAUUUUCAACUUCUAGUUUGACACCCGAGUAAUGCGGAACACGAGGAAUUCUGCAUGAAUUUGCCGGGACCAUCCGGUAAGGCUAAAUACUCCGAAGUCACCGAUAGUGAACCAGUACCGUGAGGGAAAGGUGAAAAGAACCCCAGUGAGGGGAGUGAAAUAGUACCUGAAACCGUUUGCUUACAAGCAGUAGGAGGAGCGCAAGCUCUGACUAUGUGCCUUUUGCAUAAUGAGCCGGCUAGUAAAUGUCACAGGCAAGGUUAAACGAUAAGUAAGCCGAAGCGAAAGCGAGUCUUAAUAGGGCGCUUAGUCUGUGGUAUUUGGACGUGAAACGGGAUGAUCUAGGCAUGGGCAGGUUGAAGCGUGGGUAACACCACGUGGAGGACCGAACCAGUAUAGGUUGAAAACUGUUUGGAUGACCUGUGCCUAGGGGUGAAAGGCUAAUCAAAUUCCGUGAUAGCUCGUUCUCGCCGAAAUAGCUUUAGGGCUAGCCUCGGAUUUAUCUUUGCGGUGGUAAAGCACUGAAUGGACUAGGGGCCUCACAAGGUUACCGAAUUCAAUCAAACUCUGAAUGCCGUAAAUGAAUGUCCGGGAGUCAGACUACGGGUGCUAAGAUUCGUGGUCGAGAGGGAAAGAGCCCAGACCAACAGCUAAGGUCCCAAAAUUAUAGUUAAGUGGAAAAGGACGUGGGGAAGCACUGACAGCCAGGAGGUUUGCUUAGAAGCAGCAAUCCUUUAAAGAAAGCGUAAUAGCUCACUGGUCAAGUAGCCCUGCACCGACAAUAUAACGGGGCUCAAACUAUAUACCGAAGCUUUGGAUAUUUUUAAUAUGGUAGGCGAGCAUUCUGUAGCUGUGAAGCGGUUCCGUAAGGUCCGUUGGAGCAAUCAGAAAAGACUUUGUCGGCAUUAGUAGCGAUAACGUAUGUGAGAACCAUACGCACCGAAAACCUAAGGUUUCCUGCGUCAAGUUAAUCUGCGCAGGGUUAGUCUGUACCUAAGGCGAGGCCGAGAGGCGUAGUCGAUGGAAAUCCGGUUAAUAUUCCGGAACUGAGUAACAGUGCUGUGGAGUGACGCAAUAGGGUAGGCAAGACGGCUGAUGGAUGCCGUUGAAGUAAACAGCCCGUCGCUUUGGUAAAUCCGGGUGACACAAGGGUAAAUAAACAGACGAAAGUACAGAACUUCGGUUCUGGAACAAGUUGCUGACCCCAAUUGCCAAGAAAAGCUUCGUUCAGCUCAACUGUUAAUUAACAGUACCGCAAACCGACACAGGUAGGUGGGAUGAGAAUUCUAAGGUGCUUGUGAGAACCCUCGUUCAGGAACUCGGCAAAAUAUAUCCGUAACUUCGGGAGAAGGAUAGCCGUGUUCACCAAGAACAUGGUCGCAGAGAAAUGUUCCAGGCGACUGUUUAACAAAAACAUAGGUCUCCGCAAAGUUGUAAAGACAACGUAUGGGGGCUGACGCCUGCCCAAUGCUGGAAGGUUAAGAGGACUUGUUAGCCGCAAGGCGAAGCUCGGAAUCGAAGCCCCAGUGAAUGGCGGCCGUAACUAUAACGGUCCUAAGGUAGCGAAAUUCCUUGUCGGGUAAGUUCCGACCUGCACGAAUGGCGUAACGAUCUGGAAGCUGUCUUAACGAGGGACACAGCGAACUUGUAGUACCGGUGAAGAUGCCGGUUUCCCGCAUCAAGACGGAAAGACCCCGUGCACCUUGACUACAACUUGAUAGUGAUUUCGGGCAAAUAAUGCGCAGGAUAGAUGGGAGGCUUUGAUGUCAGGCUUUUGGGCUUGGCGGAGCCAAUGGUGAGAUACCACCCUUUGUUUGUUUGGAAUCUAACCUAGAACCGUUAUCCGGUUCAGGAACAUUAUCAGGCGGGUAGUUUGACUGGGGCGGUCGCCUCCUAAAGAGUAACGGAGGCGCUCGAAGGUUGGCUCAGGCUGUUUGGAAAUCAGCCGUAGAGUGUAAACGCAUAAGCCAGCUUAACUGCGAGACAUACACGUCGAGCAGGUACGAAAGUAGGAGUUAGUGAUCCGGCGGUCGCUUAUGGAAGUGCCGUCGCUCAACGGAUAAAAGGUACGCCGGGGAUAACAGGCUGAUCCUGCCCAAGAGUUCACAUCGACGGCAGGGUUUGGCACCUCGAUGUCGGCUCAUCACAUCCUGGGGCUGAAGAAGGUCCCAAGGGUUCGGCUGUUCGCCGAUUAAAGUGGUACGUGAGCUGGGUUCAGAACGUCGCGAGACAGUUCGGUCCCUAUCUGGUGUGGGCGCAGCAGAAUUGAAGGAAUCUGACCUUAGUACGAGAGGACCGGGUUGGAUUGACCUCUAGUGUACGUGUUAUCGCGCCAGCGGUAUCGCACGGUAGCUAUGUCGAGCAUGGAUAAACGCUGAAUGCAUCUAAGCGUGAAGCCAGACCUAAGAUUAAUUCUGCCAGUGAGACUCGUGGAAGACUACCACGUUGAUAGACUGGAGAUGUAAGUGUAGUAAUAUAUUUAGUUGACCAGCACUAAUAGUCCCAAGGCUUGACCAUAAAA
RNAcentral lists this ribosomal RNA (2901 nucleotides) under Acidobacteriota bacterium. RNAcentral describes it as "Acidobacteria bacterium (soil metagenome) 23S ribosomal RNA". It matches the Rfam family "Bacterial large subunit ribosomal RNA". Lineage: Bacteria; Pseudomonadati; Acidobacteriota. The record is from RNAcentral.